Long non-coding RNA from Balaenoptera ricei (Rice's whale), 3165 nucleotides. RefSeq lists it as uncharacterized. The transcript has 6 exons. NCBI's taxonomy places the organism in Eukaryota, Metazoa, Chordata, Mammalia, Artiodactyla, Balaenopteridae. The record is from RefSeq and is a predicted model, not a curated record.
GAGAAGCAGGCUUAAGGCUAAGCUUCUGGGGUCAAGACCUGAAACUAUGCUGCAGAAGUGACCCAAUAAGGAAGCCGCUGACCCUGCUUUCCCCCAGAGCCCAGAGUGGCUGCCGGGAACGCACACUGUACUGGAGCUCUGCCAGCACUGAUGCUUCUGGGCCAGGAACUGUCCUUACAACAACUGGUACCCCGGAAGACUGGAUGCCUCUGCCACCACCCUUGUCAAACGGUUGAUACACUAAAACUCAAAGAGGAAAGGAAGGAUGUAUCCUAUUGGAAACUGACGAUCUAAACUAAAAGAAAGGAGAGUAGCAGAGACUUCAAAAUGUUGAAAACUCUCUUAUCACAACAGAAGCUAAAAACUCUGAUGUCCAGAGUCAUAAAGACAAGAAACAGGAUCACAACAGCAAGGAAAAUAUAGAUUAAACAAUAACAGAAGAGAGAGAAAAUUUAUGUAAUUUGGGACAUUCCAGGACAAAGAACAGAAGAACAGACCGAGGAGUGGCAGCACUGCGCAUGUGCAAGACAGGAACCCACGUCUCCAGGAUGACCCCAGAACCAAGGAUCUUCAGUCCACAGAACUCAAAGAAUAGAAGUGUUGCCACUGGAGCCCUUUACGAAGCAAGAAGUCCUUCAAUAAGGAAAAUCUGGCCUCCUGCACCGCAAGGCUGUCUCCACUACUCCUCUGCUUAUGGGUGAAUGAAAAUGGCCACCCCAGCCCUGAUUGGACAACAUCCUUCAUUUCACACGUCAGCAAUCAUGUGGAAAUCCAUUCUGAUUGCAUUCAAAGUGAAGGUGGAAAAAAAAAUAUCUUUCCAGCUAUUUGACACAGGAAAGAGCUCACUGCUCUGCACAAACCUGAAGAGCUCACCGAAUGCAUCUUUCCUGUGACUGUAGUGGACACAUCGUUGGCGCUCAGGCUUCUCUGUUGCUUCCUGGAGCGUCCACCCACAGUCAUUCUCCAGCCUUUCCCGUUCCUGGAUGGCAGGCAGAGCAGCACGUCGGGCGAGGGAAUGAGUGCUCAGCUGAAAUAAAUGCCUGGAGAAGACGGAUGCCUGCGGUGCAGGAGGAUUGGCCGAGGCAUCCAUUCUCCAGCUGCUAGAAAGAAGAGUUGGGUGCUGAAGGAUGACAUCAUCAAAACAACAUUGGAGGGCUUCCCUGGUGGCGCAGUGGUUGAGAAUCUGCCUGCCAAUGCAGGGGACACAGGUUCGAGCCCUGGUCUGGGAAGACCCCACAUGCUGUGGAGCAACUAGGCCUGUGAGCCACAACUACUGAGCCUGCGCGUCUGGAGCCUGUGCUCCGCAGCAAGAGAGGCCGCGACAGUGAGAGGCCCGCGCACCGCGAUGAAGAGUGGCCCCUGCUCACCGCAACUAGAGAAAGCCCUUGCACAGAAACGAAGACCCAACACAGCAAAAAUAAAUAAAUAAAUAAAUUUAUAAAAAACAAAAAAACCCAAAAAAAACAACAUUGGAGGAAGAUGCAUUUGGCAUCAGUGUCCAGGAUAACUUCAGGAUGAUCUGCCCAUGAACCCAGCUGUCCUGGAAUCACUGGGGCCAAGGAGGGAGCUGGAAUAAUAAUCCAGAUGUGAGGUGAUAGAGGCAUAGUGAUAGCAAGUGGUAGAAAUGAAGAGGAAAGAUUGGCUAUAAAGACAUUUAAAAGGAAGAAUCCCUACCACUUUGUGAAUGCGAUAGAAAAUUCUAAAAUAAUGAGUCUGAGUGUCUUGACUGACUUGUCAACACCAGAAAGAGAGAGGAGUGAGGAGGGGCAGUUGGACCCCAGGGAAAUAUGAGUUGACCUUUGGACAUACCGAGUUCUACAACACAGUGAAACGCCCAGGUGGAAAUUCUCCAGCUCUAUCCCUAUCGUUUUAGGACACUGUUAUUCUCCAAGGGAGAUAUUGCUGAUAUCAGAUCUGGAGAUGGCAAAGGGAAAUUUAAGACAAGUGAAGAACAAGCUAAGUUUGAAAACGUUGAGGGCACGGCACCGCCCUCAGCCCUGCUGAGACAUGCCUCGGUGUUCUGGUUGGAUAUGUGAUCUCCCAUCAUCUUGACUACCUGCCAGGCUAAAUGCCCUCAUACAUUGACUAUGUUCUGGCUUAGACUCCUGCUUCUCGUCGCCUGCAAGUAUUUAGCUUGUGGUCAGGGAUUCAAGAUGUCAACUUUAUGACUUAACACAGAAGAGCAUUCUUCUUUUACAGUGGGCUCAAAUAUGGAAGCCUCCAAAUCUGUCGGGUAGAUACAUAAAUCAGACUUAUAUUGAGUGGAAUGCCAGUGUCUCUGAUCUAGUCCUCUUGGUAAAGUUUAACUCAUCCUUUGAGAGUUAACUCAAAAGUUACUGUCUCUAAGUAGCCUUCCUGACUUCCCCAGGUGGUUAGUCUUUUCAUUGUCCACGUUGCCACACACUUUGUUCUGCUUUGUGCUAGAGUGCACAGAAAAGUCUAUGUGUCUGUCUCCCACCACUAGACUGGGAGCAUCCAGAAGAUGGGCACCACUGAUUCAUCUUUGUAUUUCCCACUCCCUUAACAGAGUGGGGCUCGUGGGUGAUAGUUCAUUGUUGGAAAUAUCCAGAAGAGAAAAUUUAAGAACGUGGAUGGAAUGAUAUGCAGUUGCUGUAGCAAAACCUGUAUACACAUCAUAUGUCACAUCCCCGCUGAUGCUGUUAAUGCUGCACCAGCAGAGGCAGUGCUCUCAUUACAUGCUGCUGGCCCAUAUUUGUAACGUGUGACAUUUUUUAUGAAAUACUGUCAAGGGUAAUCCAUCACAUAGUAACCUUUGGAUUAUAUGCCGAGACUGAUCUUCAACAUAGACAUAAAUGAACUUCAAGGAUAGUGCUAUUUUCUGAGAAGGGUGUGAUCAAGGGUUCUGGCUAGGAAAAUGAAGCAGAACAUUAUUUUCUUUUAAGUUAAACCCAAGUGCCUGAAAAAGAGGUUUCCUUCUGUCAGCCCCAGUGGGGACAUGGUUAUUGUGUGAAGAUAAUCCGAUGACUCUGAAAUGUGGCAGAAUAUUUUUUUCUUAGACUACAUCAGGGUUUGAAAAGGGGGUGAAGAGUUGCUAAAGGUUUGACCACCCUUGGAACUUGCGAGGUUUGUAAUAUCUUUAUCUUUAUCUAAUAUCUUUAUCUCAAGAGGUGUUUUAAAAAAAUAAAAGGACACAUGACAACUUGA